AGUGAACGCUGGCGGUAGGCCUAACACAUGCAAGUCGAACGGCAGCACAGAGGAGCUUGCUCCUUGGGUGGCGAGUGGCGGACGGGUGAGGAAUACAUCGGAAUCUACUCUGUCGUGGGGGAUAACGUAGGGAAACUUACGCUAAUACCGCAUACGACCUACGGGUGAAAGCAGGGGAUCUUCGGACCUUGCGCGAUUGAAUGAGCCGAUGUCGGAUUAGCUAGUUGGCGGGGUAAAGGCCCACCAAGGCGACGAUCCGUAGCUGGUCUGAGAGGAUGAUCAGCCACACUGGAACUGAGACACGGUCCAGACUCCUACGGGAGGCAGCAGUGGGGAAUAUUGGACAAUGGGCGCAAGCCUGAUCCAGCCAUACCGCGUGGGUGAAGAAGGCCUUCGGGUUGUAAAGCCCUUUUGUUGGGAAAGAAAUCCAGCCGGCUAAUACCUGGUUGGGAUGACGGUACCCAAAGAAUAAGCACCGGCUAACUUCGUGCCAGCCGCCGCGGUAA
This 506-nucleotide ribosomal RNA is filed under the name uncultured Pseudomonadales bacterium. RNAcentral describes it as "bacterial SSU rRNA". It matches the Rfam family "Bacterial small subunit ribosomal RNA", at positions 29 to 523 of the family's 1533-position model. The record is from RNAcentral. Lineage: Bacteria; Pseudomonadati; Pseudomonadota; Gammaproteobacteria; Pseudomonadales.